UAGAAGAGCUUUCGCUGGCCCAGACGUGAGGGCUGGCCCCCCAGCCUUGGACAGCAGUACCCCAGCCCCUCUGC
Mus spicilegus (steppe mouse) is the source of this 74-nucleotide microRNA precursor. NCBI's taxonomy places the organism in Eukaryota, Metazoa, Chordata, Mammalia, Rodentia, Muridae. The record is from Ensembl.